Molecule: ribosomal RNA, 250 nt
Filed under: uncultured Amphibacillus sp.
Lineage: Bacteria; Bacillati; Bacillota; Bacilli; Caryophanales; Bacillaceae
Description: partial 16S ribosomal RNA
Rfam family: Bacterial small subunit ribosomal RNA
Source: RNAcentral
CACGCCGUAAACGAUGAGUGCUAGGUGUUAGGGGGUUUCCGCCCCUUAGUGCUGGCGUUAACGCAUUAAGCACUCCGCCUGGGGAGUACGGCCGCAAGGCUGAAACUCAAAAGAAUUGACGGGGACCCGCACAAGCGGUGGAGCAUGUGGUUUAAUUCGAAGCAACGCGAAGAACCUUACCAGGUCUUGACAUCCCGCUGGCCGCUAUGGAGACAUAGCUUUCCCCUUCGGGGACAGCGGUGACAGGUGG